UGCUAGAAUGAGUAGAUUUGCACCUC
This 26-nucleotide non-coding RNA is filed under the name Rattus norvegicus (Norway rat). Lineage: Eukaryota; Metazoa; Chordata; Mammalia; Rodentia; Muridae. The record is from RNAcentral.